AGUUGUGUGCUUGCAAGCCGAUAAGCGAACAAGAUUUAGCUUCUUUUAUGGCUGAUUGUGUACUGAAAGAGGAUAAAAUCAAUCAGGUCUUGCCAAUUGGAGGACCUGGGAAGGCAUUGACACCUUUAGAACAAGGGGAAAUGUUGUUUAAACUUGUGGGGAAAGAACCCAAAUUUCUCAAGGUGCCAAUUGAAAUAAUGGAUUUUGCAAUAGGAUUUCUUGACUUCCUUGUAAAAAUAUUUCCUUCGUUGGAAGAUGCGGCCGAGUUUGGGAAGAUUGGUAGGUAUUAUGCUGCUGAGAGCAUGUUGAUUUGGGAUCCUGACACUGGUGAAUAUAAUGCUGAGGCAACACCAAGUUAUGGAAAUGAUACAUUGGAAGAUUUUUUCCAAAGAGUACUGAAAGAAGGAAUGGCUGGUCAGGAGUUGGGAGAGCAAACAAUAUUCUAAAUACUCCAUCAAAGAGGAUACUCUCUGACAAAUCAAUUUUGAGGUAUGCAGUUUGUCCGGCUGUAGCAGAUAUUAAUAAGUUUACAAUUUAUUUAUGUGUAAAUUAUACUCUAAUAUGAAUAUAUGCUACAUUCUGA
Molecule: unclassified non-coding RNA, 583 nt
Filed under: Hevea brasiliensis (rubber tree)
Lineage: Eukaryota; Viridiplantae; Streptophyta; Magnoliopsida; Malpighiales; Euphorbiaceae
Source: RNAcentral